CCUACGGGCGGCAGCAGUGAGGAAUAUUGGUCAAUGGACGAGAGUCUGAACCAGCCAAGUAGCGUGAAGGAUGACUGCCCUAUGGGUUGUAAACUUCUUUUAUAUGGGAAUAAAAUGUUCCACGUGUGGGAUUUUGUAUGUACCAUAUGAAUAAGGAUCGGCUAACUCCGUGCCAGCAGCCGCGGUAAUACGGAGGAUCCGAGCGUUAUCCGGAUUUAUUGGGUUUAAAGGGAGCGUAGGUGGAUUGUUAAGUCAGUUGUGAAAGUUUGCGGCUCAACCGUAAAAUUGCAGUUGAAACUGGCAGUCUUGAGUACAGUAGAGGUGGGCGGAAUUCGUGGUGUAGCGGUGAAAUGCUUAGAUAUCACGAAGAACUCCGAUUGCGAAGGCAGUUCACUGGACUGCAACUGACACUGCGGCUCGACAGUGUGGGUAUCAAACAGGAUUAGAUACCCUAGUAGUC
This 460-nucleotide ribosomal RNA is filed under the name uncultured bacterium. RNAcentral's name for it is "partial 16S ribosomal RNA". It matches the Rfam family "Bacterial small subunit ribosomal RNA", at positions 338 to 795 of the family's 1533-position model. The record is from RNAcentral.